UCAAGUCCCUCUUUGAGAGUCCGAGAACGCGUAACAUUAACCGUCCUGAACAAGCCAGUUUUGCGGCGCGAUUCUGCUUUCCAGACGGAUGUCCCAUCGUCGCAUCCUGCUUGCUUCCUUUGCAGCAGGCAGGAGUGCGGGAAUGAAGACCUCGGCGCGGUUUGCGCCAAGGACGGUUGUUGUUGGAGUGCAUCGCCCGCUUUACGCGGUGCAGUGUAUCCUCCUAACGGUGUGAGAAAAUGCAUGACUCUUGGCAACGGAUAUCUAGGCUCUCGCGUCGAUGAAGAACGUAGCAAAAUGCGAUACUUGGUGUGAAUUGCAGAAUCCCGUGAACCAUCGAGUCUUUGAACGCAAGUUGCGCCUAAGACCGUCAGGUCAAGGGCACGUCUGCUUGGGCGUCGCGCCUUACGUCACUCCAAACCCCUGCCACGCGUAAACCGCUGUGCUGGUAAGGGUGCGUGUGUGGAUGUGGAUAGUGACCCCUCGUGCUUUCGGUGCGCGGUGGGUUUGAGUGAUGGUCGUUGCUAGGUUUCGCACGCGGCGAAUGGUGGAUUAGAAUGCGCCUUCGGUUGUGCACAAGACUCCCGGCCGCGACCCACAAGAAGUAAAACCUGCGACGGUGCUUGCGCGUUACGCAAGCUCGGACC
Molecule: unclassified non-coding RNA, 647 nt
Filed under: Allium longisepalum
Lineage: Eukaryota; Viridiplantae; Streptophyta; Magnoliopsida; Asparagales; Amaryllidaceae
Description: sequence contains ITS1, 5.8S rRNA gene and ITS2
Rfam family: 5.8S ribosomal RNA (bases 246-401)
Source: RNAcentral